RNAcentral lists this ribosomal RNA (404 nucleotides) under uncultured bacterium. Its description in RNAcentral is "bacterial SSU rRNA". It matches the Rfam family "Bacterial small subunit ribosomal RNA", at positions 355 to 776 of the family's 1533-position model. The record is from RNAcentral.
UGGGGAAUAUUGCACAAUGGGCGAAAGCCUGAUGCAGCGACGCCGCGUGAGCGAAGAAGUAUUUCGGUAUGUAAAGCUCUAUCAGCAGGGAAGAAAAUGACGGUACCUGACUAAGAAGCUCCGGCUAAAUACGUGCCAGCAGCCGCGGUAAUACGUAUGGAGCAAGCGUUAUCCGGAUUUACUGGGUGUAAAGGGAGCGUAGGCGGCAGGGCAAGCCUGAUGUGAAAACCCAGGGCUCAACCUUGGGACUGCAUUGGAAACUGUUCGGCUGGAGUGUCGGAGAGGCAAGCGGAAUUCCUAGUGUAGCGGUGAAAUGCGUAGAUAUUAGGAGGAACACCAGUGGCGAAGGCGGCUUGCUGGACGAUUACUGACGCUGAGGCUCGAAAGCGUGGGGAGCAAACAGG